RNAcentral lists this long non-coding RNA (1080 nucleotides) under Homo sapiens (human). RNAcentral describes it as "HSALNT0288063". Lineage: Eukaryota; Metazoa; Chordata; Mammalia; Primates; Hominidae. The record is from RNAcentral.
CGCAAAUGCACAUGCACUAGUCUUGGAACACAAGGCCUCAUUGUGAGCUCUGGUUAGCAUCACAAUGAAUGUCACCAUUGCCUAGCAAAGAGUCCCUGCUGCUUGGUGGAGAAGGAGACCUCUGUGGAAGUGUGUUGGUUGUGGAGUCUUGCCUGUCUUCUCUAUGGUAUCCACGGGGUUGUCCCAUGAUCCUAGGAGAGGAAAAACAUAAGCCAGCCUGAAGAUACGUCAAGCACAGCCACAGGAAUAAACUGCAAAAUCCCUAAGAAUCCAAAAGGAUCUGCAGGAUUUCUCAAGCCUGCCUAGAUGUCGUAAGUGAUCCAUUGUGUUUCUCAACAGCGCUACUGGACACCAUUCUCAGGCUGGCAAUUGCCACAGAGGGCAUCUGAGACAUUGUCUCAACUUCAUCUGCACCAGUGGGAGGCCUUUCCCAGGUGGGAGAACACUACUCCACUUUGGAAUUGCCAUUGUCAGUGUUCCUGGCUUUCCCAGAGAGCCACUGCAAGGCCCAGGAUGAAGGGAGGCAGUGAGAUUAAGGACACAAUCAUCUUUCACUGACAUCCAACUCUGGGACCUCAGCCCUUGCCAGAACGGUGGUGCAGUGAUGUAUUACCUGCCAACAGCACAAUGUGAGGCAGGGUCCAGCCGUUCUGCCCAGCAUACAACUUGAGGGAGCAGCCCCUUUUGAAGACCUCCAGGUGGACUUCACAGGAAUGCCAAAGUGUGGAGUGAUCAUGUGUGGAUCAAGGACUGGAAUGUAGCCCACCCACAACUACGGUGGGAAGGACCCCAGACCAUCAUUUUGACGACUCUCACAGCAUGAAAAUAGAAGGAUUCCCAGCCUGGAUCAAUCACAGUCAUGUAUCAUCUACAUUGUCUGAGACCUGAGAGGUGAGACUGAGCCUGGUGGACCCCUGCAAAGUGACAUUGAGAAAGAUGGCAAGCCCUGCUACAGUCACAACCAGAAGCUUACUGUUGUAUGCAUGGCAAAAGAAUGAGGAUACUCAUCAUGGGAUUUAUUCUCCUUAAAAUUUGUACUUCUAUAAUAAAGACUGAUUUUUCCUGCAUGGAGGACUGUUC